Molecule: long non-coding RNA, 2249 nt
Organism: Sarcophilus harrisii (Tasmanian devil)
Lineage: Eukaryota; Metazoa; Chordata; Mammalia; Dasyuromorphia; Dasyuridae
Source: Ensembl
AAAUAAAGGUUUUGCAAACAGUAUUGAUAUUUGUUUUAUUGUAUCCUGAGGGCUCUAUGCUAAAUGAAUAGCCAAGAAUCAAGGUCAAGAGAGAAGGAAAACAAAUGGGGGAAAAAUGAUUAAAGGAAGGCACUUAACUCCUGGGAGGCAGCACAAAGAACUCUAUAGAAAGGAAACAGUCUACAGAAAGCACUUUCACUUCAAGAGAAAGCUGAGAGGAAAGAUCUAAAUAGUAGAUGCUGAUGGACAAUCUGGAAGGAAGGAAGCUAUCAGAAGAUUUUGGAAAUGAUUGUCACUGACUCCUCUUCACCAAAGAGAUAAGUGAAUGUGACUGGUUUAAAAAAUGCUAAGUUCAGUAAAAGAACACUUGUGGAUGAAGAAAUAAAUCUAAAAUGUCUCUGUAGGACAAAAAAUAAACUUUGAUUUGGUUUGCUUUUAAAUUCAAGUCAUAUUUAUACCAAAACCCACAAGCUUCCUCUUAGUUCUAAGAGCAAAUACAAAAUCCUCUGUCUGGCAUUUAAAGUCUUUCCCAUCUUGACCCCCCUCCUAUCUCUCUAGUAUUCUUACACUUUAAUCCCCUCCAUGUAUUCUACAUUAGGCUCCAUUUUUCUCAGCUAUAAAAUUGGGAGAAUUCUACUUCACAGAGUAAUUGAAGAUCAAAUGAGAUAAUUUUAUUUAAUUGUGCUUUGAUAAACAUAAAACUCUUGUGUUAAAAACAAUAGCCAGCAUUUAUAUCACAGUUAAAUAUUUGCAGAGUUAUUAAUAUUACUGUAUAGAUAUCUGAAUCUCCUUUCUAUUAUCUCUCUUAUUCUCAUUCCCCAACAAACUCUUGCCCCCCCCCAAAAAAAAAAUCACCACCUCAAUAGCUUUUAUCAGCAUAGGAAAAUUACUGUUUUCUUCUUCCCCCUUUAUUUUUUCUUUCAAUUUUCUUUAAGGAUCAAUAUUUUUUAAUCCAUAUAUACUUCUAGACUGUAUUGUUUAUGUCAUAGUACAUGUAAAUUUGGAGAAUAGGGAUUAUGUUUAUUUUACCAUCAUUAGAAUCUCAAUACAAUCCUAGCUAUCAAAUUUACUAGCUUUGAGACUUUAGGAAUCAUUUUAACACUCUGGGUGACAGAUUACUAAAAAUGAGGAUGAUAAUUUGUGGAAAGCUCUUUAGUACUCUUUAGUAAAAAUGUUAAAUGAGGCAAGUAGAUAAAACACUGGACUUGGAGUAAAGAAGACCUGAAUAUGAAUCUUCCUUCAGAAACUUACUAACUGUGUGAUCUUGGGCCAGUCACUUAACCUCUCAGCCUCAGUUUCUUUAUCUGUUAAAUAGGUAUCAUAAUAACACACAUAUCAUAAAAAUUCUUACGAGAAUCCAAUGAAAAACUUCACAAACAAUAUAAUACUAUAUACACAUGAGCCCUGAUGUUGAUGUUAAUACACAGAUCAGCAUCUGGGAAUGUUGUGGGUGAUAAGAAUGAAGUAGGGAAACUUAUUAUAAGUGUCAGCUACUUACAGUAAGAUUGGCCAACUUUAAUUAGAUAUUCCAGUAUGUAUUUUAAUAUCUAUAUUUUCAGAGGAAAAAUUGUUAAACUUUGCCAAUUAAAAAAUCAAAAGGAAAUUACUUCUUCAAGGAAACUUGAAACAUUUUUUUAGGAAAGCCUGGGAUCUUCUAAAUUAAAUGUUAACAAUUCUCAAUCACAUAGUAAUACAGCAAUUAAUCUUUGAAUUUUUAUACUUUUGUUUAUCUGCUUUUUCUCUCUUUGGGAAUAUUUCAGAUAUAGUUGCUACUUAAAGAAUCUCAUCGAAGGAAGAACAAUAGGAAAACAAAGUUUUGGUUUUGUUUUGUUUAUCUAGAGCAUUUGAUUUUACUGUUUCACUUAAUUAGUUAAUCUAGUCUUGCAUUUUAAACAAUGGCUCCUUGAAAAAUAUAAUCACCUCUGCAAAAAAGAAUAUGAAGAUUUGGGAAAUAAUUUUGAAACUUUGACUCCCCACUUUCGUUUUAUAUCCUAAAAUUCCAAAUCCCACUUAUUUCACCUCUAUACCUUUUCCCUCCUCUCUAUUUCCCCUGCUAGUACCCCAAUCAUGGCUCCCAUUACUGCUCAUCCAUGAUAUUACAAUAUUCUACUAACUAGUUUUCCCUUCCUUAAUCUCUCUUCUACAAUUCAUUUAUCACAUGGGUGCCAAAAUAAAUUUUCUUCUACAUAUAUCUGAUCAUAUUCUCACUCUGUUCAAAAACCUUUAAGGACUGCCUAUUGACAACCAGA